AGGAGGGGAGGGAAUGAUGCGUAGGAGCGAGGUAUUAUAGAAUAUCAAAGACACCGUUUACAAUUUCAUAUAGAGAGACAAAGAAUUGAUCUUUCAAAAAUAUAAGAAAUUGCUCCUUUUUAAUCAAAUAGAUCCACUAGUAACUUAAGAUAUACAAACUGAAAAUUUAAUACAGAAAAAAAAAACUUAUCAGCAUUCGAGACCAAGACUUGUUUCACGGUUUGUAAAGAAAAGGUGACCAAUGAACCAUAAUCAAACCACUUAAAGAAUUUUCUCGACAAAUUAAUUAACAACUGGCUGAACGAAGAGCAAUUAUCACGCAGGCAUAUGGCUAUAAGGAACUCCAGGAAGUCACACCAUCUCAUUGUUGUGAGAAGAUGACAUAGUGUGGGAUCUGAUAUUGGCGUGUGGUUAUCAGCUUCAAGUUUAUUACCAUAUCACAUUAUCACUAUGAUGUUAAUAUAGUAUAUACCAGAACAGCAGAGUCCCGAACUUAGC
This 498-nucleotide long non-coding RNA is filed under the name Solanum tuberosum (potato). Its description in RNAcentral is "long non-coding RNA (STUB_LNC003955)". The record is from RNAcentral. Lineage: Eukaryota; Viridiplantae; Streptophyta; Magnoliopsida; Solanales; Solanaceae.